AUGAUGCAGUUCCACAACACACAGCCACAUUCACCCACAGACCGAGGUACAGAACGAGAGACAACCUCUGCCCCCCCAGCAGCUGGCCAGCUUUGCAGCCCCAGUCUUGAGCCCCCAACUACCCUCCCCCCACCCACCCCCAUCCCCUUCCCAAUUGAAGGAGCGGAAAGAGAAGAGAGAAGAGUGAGCAGAGAGAUUGAGAGAUUGAGAGAGAGAGAGAGAGAUAGACGGAGAUCUCUGGAGCAGACCUCAAGGCUCUGAUCCCCUGAGACACAGUGCCUGUGCGAUGCAGAGCCUCACGAAGAACUGAAAACCAAGGAGAGGGCACUUGCAGAUGACGUUGCUCCCAUGGCAGCGUCUGUGCCCGUGGGCUUCUCUCUGUGGAAAAUGGUGGAGGCUGCUUCUGCCCCAGGAGGGAGAAACACCGACUCCCUGGCUUUGGCGCCAGAAGCCUGGAUCGGCUGCCAGGUGACUUCUAUUUCUAUCUGGUUCUCGUCUGGGGGGGCCCUGGCCGGGCAGCCCCCCAACACUUCUCCUGCCCUGAAACACGGCUCUAGCCAACC
RNAcentral lists this non-coding RNA (563 nucleotides) under Pan troglodytes (chimpanzee). The record is from RNAcentral. Lineage: Eukaryota; Metazoa; Chordata; Mammalia; Primates; Hominidae. RNAcentral also lists the same sequence under 1 other name.